GCCUAGGUUAGCCUAGUGGACAUGGCAUCUGCCUGGUAAGCGGAACACUGUGAGUUCGAUUCCCAUCCCGAUUAGAUA
Molecule: transfer RNA, 78 nt
Filed under: Cordylochernes scorpioides
Lineage: Eukaryota; Metazoa; Arthropoda; Arachnida; Pseudoscorpiones; Chernetidae
Description: tRNA-Thr
Rfam family: tRNA (bases 9-66)
About the family: Transfer RNA (tRNA) molecules are approximately 80 nucleotides in length. Their secondary structure includes four short double-helical elements and three loops (D, anti-codon, and T loops).
Source: RNAcentral